UACGGAGGGGGCAAGUGUUGUUCGGAAUUACUGGGCGUAAAGGGCGCGCAGGCGGCUUGGCAAGUCGAGUGUGAAAUACCUCAGCUUAACUGAGGAAGUGCGCCCGAAACUGCAGAGCUUGAGUGCCGGAGAGGGUGGCGGAAUUCCCCAAGUAGAGGUGAAAUUCGUAGAUAUGGGGAGGAACACCGGUGGCGAAGGCGGCCACCUGGACGGUAACUGACGCUGAGACGCGAAAGCGUGGGGAGCAAACAGG
This 253-nucleotide ribosomal RNA is filed under the name uncultured bacterium. RNAcentral's name for it is "partial 16S ribosomal RNA". It matches the Rfam family "Bacterial small subunit ribosomal RNA", at positions 524 to 776 of the family's 1533-position model. The record is from RNAcentral.